UUUUCUAUAGCUUAUAAUAACAAGUGUGAUAAAAUUGUAUUACAGGGUUUACAUGGUCCUAGAGUGAACUUUUGUUAUCCAGAAAAUAAAAUUCCCCAGUGGUUUGCUUAUAAGUCUCUGGGAUUUGCACUACAUGUAGACUUUGCUUCAUCGACUUGGAAUGGUGAUGAAAGCUUCUUAGGCAUUGUUAUAUGCAUUGUUGUUGAUUUUGACUGGUGCUUUUGGUAUCGUGAUGUGUUGACCAUAGUUUGUGAAAUCCAUUAUUCCCAUAUGGAUGAACCAGACUUGGACAUAUGUCGUUAUUCAUACCUACAGAUAAUGAAACAAGACUUGUAUAUACAAAAGGGCCAUACAGACCAUGUGUCCAUAUGUUAUCUUACCAGAAAAGACAUAAUAAAUGAUUUAUUUGAUGCAAAGAAUGCUUCAUUUAAAUCAUUCAAGUUUUACAUGAUGAACAAAUCACAUGAUAAAUGUAGCAAUGAGAGAAUAAAAGAAUGUGGAAUCCACUUGCUAUAUGGGGAAGAUGCAGAGGAGUUUCAUACUAUACAUGCAGAACUGCAUGCAAAGUGAUUUAGGUGUUUAAGUUUGGAACUUGCAUUGUGGACUGACAAAGAUGUUGAUCUUUUAAGCUACACAUUGUUGGUACUCUUGAAAUGUUGUUUGGUGGACCAACUUCUUUUGUUUUGGAUGACUGUACUCUUUUUCAUUUCUAGAGAUUUUUCUCAACUGGGUUUAGCUCUUUAAAGAUUUUAACCGACAUUGCUAUAAAUACAUUACAAUGGUUUUUUUUUGGCAAAAUUGUGUGUAUUCUUAUUUGUGUUCUACUUUGACUUUGUAUUUUGCUGUAUUUAGACUAUGCUUUAUUUUUAUUUUUCCUAUAAUGUACAUGAUGGAAUAUUUCUCUUCGGACAUGGAUAUAAUUAGACUGCUUUAUUUUUUUGUGUAUUAUUGGCUUUGUAAUGGGAUAAAAGAAGUCAAGAAAUAUUGAUCAUUUAGGUAUCUAGCUAAGGCUGGGAUUUUGCCCCUCUCAA
Molecule: long non-coding RNA, 1031 nt
Organism: Humulus lupulus (European hop)
Lineage: Eukaryota; Viridiplantae; Streptophyta; Magnoliopsida; Rosales; Cannabaceae
Exons: 2
Source: RefSeq, a predicted model, not a curated record